GAUGAACGCUGGCGGCGUGCUUAACACAUGCAAGUCGAACGAAGCAUUUUAAAGGAAGUUUUCGGAUGGAAUUUAAAAUGACUUAGUGGCGGACGGGUGAGUAACGCGUGGGUAACCUGCCUCAUACAGGGGGAUAACAGUUGGAAACGACUGCUAAGACCGCAUAAGCCUACAGUCUCGCAUGAGACAGUAGGAAAAGAUUUAUCGGUAUGAGAUGGACCCGCGUCUGAUUAGCUAGUUGGUGAGGUAAUGGCUCACCAAGGCGACGAUCAGUAGCCGACUUGAGAGAGUGAUCGGCCACAUUGGGACUGAGACACGGCCCAAAA
Molecule: ribosomal RNA, 326 nt
Filed under: uncultured Bacillota bacterium
Lineage: Bacteria; Bacillati; Bacillota
Description: bacterial SSU rRNA
Rfam family: Bacterial small subunit ribosomal RNA
Source: RNAcentral